GCCGCGUGCGGGAUGAAGGCCUUCGGGUUGUAAACCGCUUUCAGCAGGGAAGAAGCGAAAGUGACGGUACCUGCAGAAGAAGCACCGGCUAACUAUGUGCCAGCAGCCGCGGUAAUACAUAGGGUGCAAGCGUUGUCCGGAAUUAUUGGGCGUAAAGAGCUCGUAGGUGGUUCGUCACGUCGGAUGUGAAAAUCUGGGGCUUAACCCCAGACCUGCAUUCGAUACGGGCGAGCUUGAGUAUGGUAGGGGAGUCUGGAAUUCCUGGUGUAGCGGUGGAAUGCGCAGAUAUCAGGAGGAACACCAAUGGCGAAGGCAGGACUCUGGGCCAUUACUGACACUGAGGAGCGAAAGCGUGGGGAGCGAACAGGAUUAGAUACCCUGGUAGUCCACGCCGUAAACGGUGGGCACUAGUUGUGGGGACCUUCCACGGUCUCUGCGACGCAGCUAACGCAUUAAGUGCCCCGCCUGGGGAGUACGAUCGCAAGAUUAAAACUCAAAUGAA
Molecule: ribosomal RNA, 502 nt
Filed under: uncultured bacterium
Lineage: Bacteria
Description: bacterial SSU rRNA
Rfam family: Bacterial small subunit ribosomal RNA
Source: RNAcentral